UUUGCAUCCUACUCAUCACGUGCCCCCACUCCUUAUAUCUUCUUCUGAUCGUUUUGGUUAAAGUCCUUUUUGCCAAAGAAGUAAUAUCUCAGCCGUAUAUACUUAAUCUAUUCAAAUUCCCACUGAUGCUCAUGCUAUUCAUCACUGAAAUCGGGGUUACUUCUUCGACAAAAUUUAGUAUAUCCUCUAAAUAACUAUAUUGGAGAGACACCGGCCGUUAGACUGUGGUCUCUGUCGUAAACAGCCAGAGCCAUUAGACAUCAAAUAAUAUUGGGGAGGCUAGCUAUGGAGCCGAUAGAUAUUGCUAUUGUUUUCUAUGCCUUUACAAUCGCCUGUUUCGUGUUCUGGGUUGUAAGAUUAUUUAUACGUCGGGCCAUUUGCAAUAACUCGAGAUAUAAAAACCACUGAAUAACCGAUCGGAACUAUUCACAUUAUGUCAUCACACGUGCAAAAACAGAACGGCUGCAGUAAGGUUGGCGCAAAUCGCAUUGAUUACGAAUGGCUCAUAGAAGAUUUUAAACUGUUCUCUCAAGGAAAUACGAAAUAUUCAUAUUCACCAGUCUUGCAUGCUAAUCUCUACCAGUCACAGAAGUUAAAGGAAUAUGUUGAGAUUCAUCGGAGACGAUCCUCUCAGUGUAAUCAAGUCGGAGAGCUCUGUAGUCAUUACUGCAAGGAAGGCAAAGGCUUGAAAUUUUUUACCUCAUCGAUGUUUAUGCCAAUUCAUUUGAAACACGCAUUCUUCGUCUUUUCUGUUUCUCCUCUGAAAAACGUUCUUUCUGUAUUUAUAACUUCAGAAUAAACAUUUUCAUUUUA
Molecule: long non-coding RNA, 813 nt
Organism: Diachasma alloeum
Lineage: Eukaryota; Metazoa; Arthropoda; Insecta; Hymenoptera; Braconidae
Exons: 2
Source: RefSeq, a predicted model, not a curated record